CAGGUCAGCCAGGUGCGCGCGCUUAACAGUGAGGAAAGUCCGUACACCACAGAGCAGGAUGCCAGGUAACCCCUGGGAGGGCGCAAGCUUUCGGAUCGGGCCACAGAGACAUACCGCUCGCAAGAGUAAGGGUGAAAAGGUGGUGUAAGAGACCACCGGCAUCGCUGGCAACAGCGAUGGACAGGCAACCCCCAUCCGGUGCAAGGUCAAGCAGGAGAGAGAACCGGCUCGGUUCAUUUGAUCUCCGGGUAGACCGCACGAGCUGGUUGGUGACAAUCAGCCAAGAUAGAUGCGCACCCAUGACAGAAUACGGCUUACCGGCUGACCUGAGGG
Molecule: RNase P RNA, 333 nt
Filed under: Chloroflexota bacterium
Lineage: Bacteria; Bacillati; Chloroflexota
Description: Chloroflexi bacterium (anaerobic digester metagenome) RNase P RNA component class A
Rfam family: Bacterial RNase P class A
About the family: Ribonuclease P (RNase P) is a ubiquitous endoribonuclease, found in archaea, bacteria and eukarya as well as chloroplasts and mitochondria. Its best characterised activity is the generation of mature 5'-ends of tRNAs by cleaving the 5'-leader elements of precursor-tRNAs.
Source: RNAcentral